RNAcentral lists this ribosomal RNA (253 nucleotides) under uncultured bacterium. Its description in RNAcentral is "partial 16S ribosomal RNA". It matches the Rfam family "Bacterial small subunit ribosomal RNA", at positions 524 to 776 of the family's 1533-position model. The record is from RNAcentral.
UACGUAGGGGGCAAGCGUUGUCCGGAAUCAUUGGGCGUAAAGCGUGCGUAGGCGGCCCGGUAAGUCCGCUGUGAAAGUCAAAGGCUCAACCUUUGAAUGCCGGUGGAUACUGCCGGGCUAGAGUCCGGAAGAGGCGAGUGGAAUUCCUGGUGUAGCGGUGGAAUGCGCAGAUAUCAGGAGGAACACCGGUGGCGAAGGCGGGUCUCUGGGCCGAAAUUGACGCUGAGGAGCGAAAGCGUGGGGAGCAAACAGG